UGGCAGCUGUUCCGAUUGUAUCGCUUGCAUGAGAGACCUCUGAGCUUGGCAUCUGAGGAUAACAUCUGUCACUCAUCCAGCACUUUAAGACAAUGAGUACAAAGAAAAUGUAUUGAUUCUGAACGUGGCGUGCCCUUGCUGGCUGGACCCAUGACGGAGGAAAAGUUUGCAGGACUUAUGGCAUGGAGUUGCUUCUUCCAUUCUCCGAUCCAGGCGAAUCCAGCAGAAGGGUGUUUGUAAUUACUGUUUGAAGGAGAAAGGCGAGGAUGGGGCGGUCUUUAUCAGAACAGACACUGGUGCCUCAGUGGGCGUUGUGGUGGAUGGUGUUGGCAUACAGCUGUCAGAGGAUGAGCAUUUGGUCCUUCGAGGCACCAGAGGCCAGCGCCGUCCUGGGGAGUCUGAGCAUUCAGAGCGGAACCCUGUUAGUGAGGGAGAGCAGAACCCCUUUAGCUCUUCUAAAGUGCUGGUUUCAAAAACAGGGCCAGCUAAUCACCCGUGAACGCAGAGGAGGGAUCCUUGUGGAGAAUCUGGAGGAGCUUGAGAGAAGCUAUGAAUUUAUUCACUGCAAAAAAUCAUUCAUAAAUCAGUAUUUUCUUUGUCUUGCUCUUCAUAUCUAAAAAUCCUUUAGAUAAGAAGUUAAGACUUGCUUCAUAAAUUUUGUAACAAAUCUGUAAUUAAAUUUAUGCUAGAAACAAACAAAAAGCCAUUGUGGCAAGAAAAUAAACUUAAUAAAAAUAUACAUAUUAUAAAUUAUACACACAUACAUGUAUACACUACUGUAAAGUUUGAGGUUGAUCCAUUUUUAAAAAUGUUUUUUUUUUUUAAUCAAAAUUCUAAUGGCAAUAUUGUUGAAUAUUUCUACAAUUAAACUUUUUUUUCUAUUCAAAUUUAUUUUAAAAUGUAAUUUAUUUCUAUGAUGCAAAGCUGAGUUUUCAGCAUCAUUACUCCAGUCUUCAGUGUCACAUGAUGCUUCAGGAAUCAUUCUAAUUUACUGAUUUGCUAUUUAAGAAACAUUUCUUAUUAUUGUAAA
Long non-coding RNA from Cyprinus carpio carpio, 1030 nucleotides. Lineage: Eukaryota; Metazoa; Chordata; Actinopteri; Cypriniformes; Cyprinidae. The record is from Ensembl.